UGAGGAAUAUUGGUCAAUGGCCGAGAGGCUGAACCAGCCAAGUCGCGUGAAGGAAGAAGGAUCUAUGGUUUGUAAACUUCUUUUAUAGGGGAAUAAAGUGGAGGACGUGUCCUUUUUUGUAUGUACCCUAUGAAUAAGCAUCGGCUAACUCCGUGCCAGCAGCCGCGGUAAUACGGAGGAUGCGAGCGUUAUCCGGAUUUAUUGGGUUUAAAGGGUGCGUAGGUGGUGAUUUAAGUCAGCGGUGAAAGUUUGUGGCUCAACCAUAAAAUUGCCGUUGAAACUGGGUUACUUGAGUGUGUUUGAGGUAGGCGGAAUGCGUGGUGUAGCGGUGAAAUGCAUAGAUAUCACGCAGAACUCCGAUUGCGAAGGCAGCUUACUAAACCAUAACUGACACUGAAGCACGAAAGCGUGGGGAUCAAACAGGAUUAGAUACCCUGGUAGUCCACGCAGUAAACGAUGAUUACUAGGAGUUUGCGAUACAAUGUAAGCUCUACAGCGAAAGCGUUAAGUAAUCCACCUGGGGAGUACGCCGGCAACGGUGAAACUCAAAGGAAUUGACGGGGGCCCGCACAAGCGGAGGAACAUGUGGUUUAAUUCGAUGAUACGCGAGGAACCUUACCCGGGUUUGAACGUAGUCUGACCGGAGUGGAAACACUUUUUCUAGCAAUAGCAGAUUACGAGGUGCUGCAUGGUUGUCGUCAGCUCGUGCCGUGAGGUGUCGGCUUAAGUGCCAUAACGAGCGCAACCCUUAUCACUAGUUACUAACAGGUGAAGCUGAGGACUCUGGUGAGACUGCCAGCGUAAGCUGUGAGGAAGGUGGGGAUGACGUCAAAUCAGCACGGCCCUUACAUCCGGGGCGACACACGUGUUACAAUGGCAUGGACAAAGGGCAGCUACCUGGCGACAGGAUGCUAAUCUCCAAACCAUGUCUCAGUUCGGAUCGGAGUCUGCAACUCGACUCCGUGAAGCUGGAUUCGCUAGUAAUCGCGCAUCAGCCAUGGCGCGGUGAAUACGUUCCC
Molecule: ribosomal RNA, 1019 nt
Filed under: uncultured bacterium
Lineage: Bacteria
Also listed under: 1 other name
Description: bacterial SSU rRNA
Rfam family: Bacterial small subunit ribosomal RNA
Source: RNAcentral